AAAAAGCUCUGGAAAAUGCGGAUCUUGGUAGCGACAGAGAUAAAAAGAUUGAUAAGGAGCGAGCUGGUGUUUUGGUAGGAACAGGAAUGGGUGGUCUUACAGUUUUUUCAGAUGGCGUCCAAGCCUUAAUCGAAAAGGGUCACAGGAAAAUUACUCCAUUUUUCAUACCAUAUGCCAUAACAAAUAUGGGUUCGGCCUUGCUUGCAAUUGAUGUUGGUUUCAUGGGACCUAACUACUCAAUUUCAACUGCUUGUGCUACCUCCAACUAUUGUUUCUAUGCUGCUGCAAAUCACAUUCGUCGAGGUGAGGCUGAUUUGAUGAUAGCUGGUGG
This 331-nucleotide unclassified non-coding RNA is filed under the name Hevea brasiliensis (rubber tree). The record is from RNAcentral. Lineage: Eukaryota; Viridiplantae; Streptophyta; Magnoliopsida; Malpighiales; Euphorbiaceae.